GCAUAUCAAUAAGCGGAGGAAAAGAAACUAACAAGGAUUCCCUUAGUAACGGCGAGUGAACCGGGAAGAGCUCAAAUUUGUAAUCUGGCGUCCUUCGGGCGUCCGAGUUGUAAUCUAUAGAGGUGUUUUCCGCGCCGGACCACGUUUAAGUCUCCUGGAACGGAGUAUCAAAGAGGGUGACAAUCCCGUACUUGACGUGACGACCGGUGCUAUGUGAUACACUCUCAACGAGUCGAGUUGUUUGGGAAUGCAGCUCUAAAUGGGUGGUAAAUUCCAUCUAAGGCUAAAUAUUGGCGAGAGACCGAUAGCGAACAAGUACCGUGAGGGAAAGAUGAAAAGCACUUUGGAAAGAGAGUUAAACAGCACGUGAAAUUGUUAAAAGGGAAACGAUUGAAGUCAGUCGUGCACUUGGUAUUCAGCCGUCUCUGACGGUGUAUUUGCCUUGUGCGGGUCAACAUCAGUUCUGAUCGGCGGAAAAGGGCUGGAAGAAGGUGGCACCCUCGGGUGUGUUAUAGCUUCCUGUCGUAUACGUCGGUUGGGACUGAGGAAUGCAGCUUGCCGCAAGGCCGGGGUUCGCCCACGUUCAAGCUUAGGAUGUUGACAUAAUGGCUUUAAACGACCCGUCUUGAAACACGGACC
Molecule: ribosomal RNA, 639 nt
Filed under: Cryptococcus sp. SAP1061.2
Lineage: Eukaryota; Fungi; Basidiomycota; Tremellomycetes; Tremellales; Cryptococcaceae
Also listed under: 1 other name
Description: eukaryotic LSU rRNA
Rfam family: Eukaryotic large subunit ribosomal RNA
Source: RNAcentral